This 843-nucleotide ribosomal RNA is filed under the name Triticum aestivum (bread wheat). Its description in RNAcentral is "partial small subunit ribosomal RNA". Lineage: Eukaryota; Viridiplantae; Streptophyta; Magnoliopsida; Poales; Poaceae. The record is from RNAcentral.
AUGGAGGAGCCGUUUGCUUUAGAUCCCCGCGAUCGCAGGAGAUGUUCCAUGACAGUUGAAGAAAGGAAUGCGUCGCACCAGCUGAAGAUGGAUGGUGCGUACUCUACUGGGUCUAUGGCGAUGAAAAUGUAUGGUCUUAUUAUUACUUCGCUGGGCUUCAUUGUUCCAUUGUUCCGGCAAAUCUAUUGUGUCAUAGCUUCCAGUAGAAGUUCGGGAGCUCUUCACCCUUGGGAUGUCAAAGACACGGUUUGCUUUGUCAGCCGCACCAUUGGCGAUACUGGUGGUGCUAUCCCUUCUUUUGUCGGGGGAAUUCGCCGUCGUCCCAAUACUUUCAAAAAAAGACACUAUGUUAUAAGUACUGGCACUAGCGGCAACCCUUUUUACAUCAAAUCCAAAAGUGGGGUUGGUCACAGGAUUUCCACCAGAAGGCUUCGUUUGCUGGCUGCCACUCGAAGACGCCGUUGUUCUCGUUGGCUCUAUGAUACCGGGGCUAGUAUUUGCAUCACCGGAGACAUUAGUAUCCUUCGAGGUUUACACAAUGCUGUUCCUAUGCAUUCGCGUGGAGUCAGUGGAACCGAAUUGGUGUCAAAUAAGUGUGGGCGCAUAUCUGGUAGAGUGAAGCUUUCUGGAAUCCGGUACUUCCCUGGUGCAAAGGUGAACUUAAUCAGCGGAGGCCUCUUGGGAUCCCUAGGAUGUGAAACCACACAGAACGCUAAAGGAUGCAAGAUCAUCAAGGACGGGCAGGUCAUCGGUGAGGGCCGCCUACUGUGGGACCGCACAUACUCCAUCGACUACCUCGACGGCAAUCUUCUCGGUGUAAUCUGCCCUGACUGCCGACAUUAG